AGGGUGGGGCCUUGGGUAAAGCCCUGGGCUCAGAGUUCAGUGAGUUCUUGGUGCACAGAGCUCCAAGAACCACUCCAGCACGCUGCCUGCCACGGAGCAGGGUUUCAGCAAGUAUUUGCUGGAUGAGUGAGAGGCUAAGUGGAUGAAUAAAGAUCUAAGUCAGAGUCAAGCUAGGAAUAGUCUGCACCUCAAGGCUCUACCAGCACUAGGAAAGGGUCUACCUAGAGACUGCAGAAGAGAUGAGCCUACAUGAAGAUAUUCAAGGAGACCCAGGGAAGGUGUCUAAGAGGCUGUGAAAGCAUGAAGUCACACGGGCCAUGGCUGUCAGCAGAGGAGUUUAUGGCUAAAAACAUCUGGAGGAAAAUGGGCUCUGCCAGAGCGCGCGCAGCCGCAGCCCACCCCUCCUCCUCCGGCACCUGAAAUCCUGUCCCCUUCCGCCCAUUUACGACUGUUUGCUGUGGAAACGGCUUGCGGAGCGGCCCCGAGGGAGCUAGUGGGAGAGCACAGUUCACGAUGGAGCCCACGGCCUGUUUCCCAUUCUGACCCCGAGGAGCGAGCGGGGAACCUGGGCCGGAGCAGCCCCGGGAGGACCGGGAGCGCAGUGAACUGCUGGCUGCUUGGCCGGGAGGGGUGCCCUUUUCCAGAUCUGGAGCUGCACUAUAAUUCCAUGGGACCUAGAAUAAAAAUUACAACUGCAAACCUGGGAAGGACCUUUUUCUGGAAUGUUACCAAAGGAUGAUUGUAAAACAACUUGAGGACCUCAAAUGAAAGGGACCACUGAAUGGAGGUGACAUUCAGUUCAGAAAACUGCAGGCCACUCUAGAAGGGUCAACUAUUCCACCUCACAGUGAAAAUGAGACCACUGCAUAUGUGCAGCUCACACUAACCUCUAUAAUGCAUGCAUUCCAAAUUAUAAUUAUGGGGAUAAAUCUGAAAUGCAUGGUGGUAGAUGCAGAGCCAGCCCAUAUUAGCUACCAGCGUGGGGGGCAGGAAGUGAUGUGUUUUCAUCACCUACCGUGUAUCAUGUGUUUGACACUCAGGAUUUUAUCAUCCUUAUGGUGGCCCUGAGCCAGGCAUUAUCAUCCCUAAUUUCCAGUUGAAGAAAUAGAAGCUCAGAAAGGUUGAGCAGCCCUGAGCUCUGCCCAGGUUCAAGCAGUGGCUCCAUGAUGACUUUGAGGUUGAACUCAAACUGGCUUGUUCUCAGAGCCUGUGCUCAUUUCACAGCACACACUUCCCCUUUGGAAAAGUCCAAAGUUCCACCCUGAGAAUGGAAUGACUUUCAAUCUCUUCUGAAGACAGGC
This is a long non-coding RNA of Bos taurus (domestic cattle), 1301 nucleotides long. Lineage: Eukaryota; Metazoa; Chordata; Mammalia; Artiodactyla; Bovidae. The record is from Ensembl.